This 86-nucleotide transfer RNA is filed under the name Candidatus Woesearchaeota archaeon. Its description in RNAcentral is "tRNA-Ser". It matches the Rfam family "tRNA". From Rfam's summary of the family: Transfer RNA (tRNA) molecules are approximately 80 nucleotides in length. Their secondary structure includes four short double-helical elements and three loops (D, anti-codon, and T loops). Further hydrogen bonds mediate the characteristic L-shaped molecular structure. tRNAs have two regions of fundamental functional importance: the anti-codon, which is responsible for specific mRNA codon recognition, and the 3' end, to which the tRNAs corresponding amino acid is attached (by aminoacyl-tRNA synthetases). tRNAs cope with the degeneracy of the genetic code in two manners: having more than one tRNA (with a specific anti-codon) for a particular amino acid; and 'wobble' base-pairing, i.e. permitting non-standard base-pairing at the 3rd anti-codon position. Lineage: Archaea; Nanobdellati; Candidatus Woesearchaeota. The record is from RNAcentral.
GCCGUGGUGGCACAGCCUGGUACUGCGUAGGAUUGCUAAUCCUAUUUCCCGCAAGGGAUUCCCCAGUUCAAAUCUGGGCCACGGCG